CACUGACUUAAUUUUAGACUAUUAGACUACGAAAGUCACCCUAAAGUACAAUGGUGAUAUUAACAGUUAUUUGGAAAUCCCAUUACAUGUACUUGGCAUUAUUUAGGAGAAAUUUAUGAUUCUGGCUAUAUAAGACUGCUUAAAGUAUAAAUAAAAAGGGAUUUUCUAAAGAAAUAUAUGACAGUUCAACAAACCAAACCAUUAAAAAACACCCGACUCUUCCGAAAAAAAAGACACACAAUAAAAAAACGAACAACAACGAACAACGCACGGUCCAGAUAACUUGAUAAGCAUUCAUAUACUGGUACUAUAUAUGCACCACAUCAUAUAAAACUACUCGCAUACAUGUGUACCGAUUUUUGUCUAUUUAAUAUUGGUUGUAAAAUCUAAUGUUAUAGAUGAGUGUUUUAUUAUAUGAUGUUAUGUUCUGCCAUUUGUUUGAUAAAAAUCAU
RNAcentral lists this long non-coding RNA (452 nucleotides) under Mytilus galloprovincialis (Mediterranean mussel). The record is from RNAcentral. Lineage: Eukaryota; Metazoa; Mollusca; Bivalvia; Mytilida; Mytilidae.